Molecule: long non-coding RNA, 450 nt
Organism: Dipodomys spectabilis (banner-tailed kangaroo rat)
Lineage: Eukaryota; Metazoa; Chordata; Mammalia; Rodentia; Heteromyidae
Exons: 3
Source: RefSeq, a predicted model, not a curated record
UUAACCUCAAACAAAUUCUUUUUUUUUUUCACUUUUCCGCAAACUUUGUUACAAACAUACAAUUCUUUAAAUAUAGACUGUAAAACUCCAUUUGCAAAAGUCUGCUAUUGUAAGGAGUGCACACUAGCAGGAAGGAUUCUUAACUUUUUCUAUGCGUUUUCUGUCAGUUUUGCUAGUUAGUGGUAAAUACGGGACCCGCUGUUUUACAGGCCUGUCCGAAGCUUGUGGCUGUAUUCACAUUGCUCUUUUGAAGCAGCCCUGCAUGUAUCAAAAUUGUUCAGAAUCUGAGCUUCAACCUACAGGCAGUGAGAUCAACAGCCCGUCUGGACUCUGCUUUUUGAACAGUUUUCAGGAAGUGUGAUUUCUGGACGGGUACUGCACUUCACAGAUUUGUUUGAAUUGCCCAUGCAGCUCUAUGUUAAAGUGCAUUCUUCUUUUCAAAAAUAAGCA